CCAUCACUUCCUGUGCCGCAGCCUGUAAACCUCUACGCUUCCUUCUGGGCUUCGAGACCCACACAGUGGACCCGGCACUUCAUUAAAACAUCUCCUUCUAAUAUAUAUCGCACUAUUUAUUUGUUUAUCCAUCAAGUGUGAAUUCAGCGGCUCAGAAUGGAAACAUCUGGUAACUCGAGUAAGAAGCAGAAACUGAGUAACGCGCCUGAGAGCUGGGGGAUGCAAAGAGCCACCAAUGUGACGUAUCAAGCCCAUCACGUGAGUAGAAACAAGCGUGGCCAGGUAGUCGGCACUAGAGGAGGAUUUCGAGGAUGCACGGUGUGGCUUACAGGUUUGUCUGGUGCGGGUAAGACAACAGUCAGCAUGGCUCUGGAGGAGUAUCUGGUGUGUCAUGGCAUCCCCUGCUACACUCUGGAUGGAGAUAACAUCAGGCAGGGCCUCAAUAAGAACCUGGGCUUCAGCCCUGAAGACCGCGAGGAGAACAUUCGUCGUAUAGCAGAAGUGGCAAAACUGUUUGCUGAUGCUGGGCUUGUGUGCAUCGCCAGCUUCAUUUCCCCGUACAGCAGGGAUCGUCUGAAUGCAAGGAAGAUCCACGAAGCUGCUGGCCUUCCAUUCUUUGAGGUGUUUGUAGAUGCUCCUCUGGAUGUGUGUGAGCAGAGAGAUGUGAAGGGGCUCUAUAAGAGGGCUAGAGCUGGAGAAAUCAGAGGUUUCACUGGAAUAGAUUCUGAGUAUGAGAAACCAGAGGCCCCUGAACUUGUACUGAAGACGGAUUCUUGCAGUGUGAACGAGUGCAUCCAGCAGCUUCUGGACCUCCUGCAGGAGAGGGACAUAGUUCCUGUGGACGCAUCCUACGAGGUCAAGGAGCUCUAUGUGCAUGAGAACAAGCUGGACUUGGCAAAGGCUGAUGCAGAGACUCUUCCAGCAGUGGAGAUCACUAAGGUGGACAUGCAGUGGGUUCAGGUGCUCGCUGAGGGCUGGGCCACUCCUCUGAACGGCUUCAUGAGGGAGAGAGAGUAUCUACAGUGCCUGCACUUCAACUGUCUGCUUGACGGUGGGGUUAUUAACCUGUCGGUGCCGGUGGUCCUCCCGGUUUCAAGUGCUGAUAAGGAGCGUCUGGAUGGCAGCACUGCGUUUGCGCUGGCCUACGGUGGUCGGAGGGUCGCGAUACUGCGAAACCCAGAGUUCUACGAACACCGCAAGGAAGAGCGAUGUGCCCGGCAGUGGGGCACCACAUGCAAGGAUCAUCCAUACAUCAAGAUGGUGAUGGAGAGCGGAGAUUGGUUGGUCGGUGGUGAUCUCCAGGUGCUGGAUCGGAUCUACUGGAAUGACGGGCUGGAUAGUUACAGGCUCACACCAACCGAACUUAAGCAGAAGUUUAAAGAGAUGAAUGCAGAUGCCGUCUUUGCCUUCCAACUGCGGAACCCAGUGCAUAAUGGCCAUGCGCUGCUCAUGCAGGACACUCAGCGGCGUCUAAUUGAACGUGGCUAUCGUCGACCCGUGCUUCUGCUUCACCCACUGGGCGGCUGGACCAAAGAUGAUGAUGUGCCGCUGGCCUGGCGCAUGAAACAGCAUGCGGCCGUCCUGGAGGAGGGACUGCUUGACCCCAACUCCACCAUAGUGGCCAUUUUCCCUUCACCGAUGAUGUACGCCGGCCCAACAGAGGUGCAGUGGCACUGUAGGGCCCGGAUGGUGGCUGGGGCCAACUUUUACAUAGUGGGCCGUGACCCCGCAGGAAUGCCUCACCCAGACACAGGUAAAGACCUCUACGAGCCCUCCCACGGAGCUAAAGUUCUCACCAUGGCCCCUGGACUCAUAUCCCUGGAAAUUGUGCCUUUCAAAGUGGCAGCCUACAAUAAAGCCAAGAAGGCCAUGGAUUUUUAUGACCCCAAAAAACACCAGGACUAUGACUUCAUCUCAGGAACCCGCAUGCGGAGGAUGGCUCGCGAGGGCCAGAACCCUCCGGAAGGCUUCAUGGCACCCAAAGCCUGGAAUGUUCUCAAGGAAUACUACCAGUCUUUGGAGAAGGCCUAAGCCGGUUUCCAGGUGUGGAGAGAGACGGAAGCAAUUCUGUUACAGUGAAAAAAGGGAAAGGAGGAGGAGAAGGAGGUGAUCUUGACAGAGAAGCGGCUUUUGGUAGCACCUGGUUCUUGUCUUUGCCGCUCCGCAGUAAGAGCCUCGGCCCGUUUGACCUUCCCUCCAGUGCUGAAAAUGCAAACCACCAUAAAGAUAUUAAAAUCUGAGAUAUAGCGCAUUACCUCAGAUGUGAGGGGUUUGAAAUGAAGAGAUCACAUGGAUAGAGGGGUAUCAUACAUCAAAUGCUACAGCCUGGCAUGUUCACAUCAAAGAGACGCAUCUGUUUCAUGACAUGAUGAGGACCCAGUCUCAUGAGGCAGCAAGGAGGAGGACGUGACAGUCAAGCCUCUCGUGCUCCUCAUCUUGUCCUCGUUCACCGUCUGAGUGUCUUCACACUCUAUGGCAGCGCUCCAACCUCAUGCCACCUACCUGGGAGCUGUUCAAAUCUGCCAUUUACAGGAGCCAGGUGGUGACCCAGUUGUAAUGCACUGGAGUGGAGUGGCUCAUUGGAGUAACUCUGUUCGUCUGAUUGAAAGCUGUCAGCACAUCUUAAUGCCUUUUGGACACAAUGAGUUGAUGACGAAGUUAACUCCAUUCCCCAUUUUGAAUGAUGACUGCUGUGCAUGUUGGGAUUUCUUUAAUUGAUGAUGGAUACAUGCAACACGAUCUCAGAACUGAACCAAAACAAGGACUUCAUGGCAUCUUAUCAUGCCAGCUGGGCACGAAAGCGUUGGCUGGAAUGGACACUGGUAGUCAGUGCACAGGGUGCCCGGUCCCUGCCUGCUGCUUCUGCAAUCCCUACAUCUCAUGUUUAGGGACAAUGAGCCAUUGUGUGGCAGUUAUUCAAUCCUGUUCAGCUUGCGAGCUUUGACAGUGAGUGAUCACAUAAAAUGAUGUCACUGCAAAUGCUUGUAAGCCAAGUACAAAGGAGCACCUAGAUACUGAUCUGCGGCCAGAUUAAUGUGAGGGAACACUGAAGAAUUCAGAGGAAGUCUGUAACAAAAGUCACAAGCGUGUUGAUUUUACAGAAUAAGGCAAUUUUGUACCUUUAAAAGAUACAUGGAUUGGAAGACUGCUGUUCUGCCAUGAUUUUACUGAACAUUUUAAAUGACAACAAUGGAAAAGACACCCAGGAUCCACAGAACUUGGAAUACCUGAUUUCCAAAAAGUUCUACAAAUCCCAUGACCCUUCCGUAUUCAUUUAUUGACUGUUAAGCUAAUUGAUUAUGCUUUCAGCCACAAGUAAGAGUGUUCACACAAAAAAAAUAUGUUGUAAUCCACCCAAUGUUUUUUGAACUUUCAUUGUAUGGAUAAAAACAGUUCAAAAUGUUGUUUAUCUUUCCGAAAGAAAGUCAUACAUGCUUGGAACGCUUAAAAAUUCUACAAAAAAGGUACUUUAUAUUAUUAAAAUAUUCAUCUAAGAAGAAAAAAAAAGGUUAUUUUUAAGAACUUUCCUUCUUAAGAUUCUUUGUAGUUUCUUUGUAUGUUCUAUGGUGUUGGUGUGAAAACUCCUUUUUGGAACUUUCAUUUUUAAAAUUGUGUGUAAACGCAGAAGGAACCCCAGAAUUCCAUUGUUUUUCCCGUCAAAAUCAGUGUGGAAAAUGCAAAAAUAAAUCUGCUGCUUCCAUGGAUCAAAUUCCAUCUGGUCCUGCAGAUGACGUCAAGUUUUAUUUGCUCUGAAAUUGAGUGUUGAUGGCUGUUCACCAUGUACUCAAUAUAAUGUACAGAAAUGUAAAUGUAAUGAAUUAUAAGGCAAAACUCACAAAAACA
Molecule: RNA transcript, 3843 nt
Organism: Onychostoma macrolepis
Lineage: Eukaryota; Metazoa; Chordata; Actinopteri; Cypriniformes; Cyprinidae
Gene: papss1
Gene name: 3'-phosphoadenosine 5'-phosphosulfate synthase 1
Exons: 18
Source: RefSeq, a predicted model, not a curated record